GUCACGCCCGAAGUCGUUACCUCAACCGCAAGGAGGGGGAUGCCUAAGGCAGGGCCAGUGACUGGGGCGAAGUCGUAACAAGGUAGCCGUACCGGAAGGUGUGGCUGGAUCACCUCCUUAAAGGGAGACCUAAUUCCGGUAGGAGACGAAAAAAAAGUAGUCGCUACCAAGAAUCAAUCCCAAAAGGUCGGAGCGAGGCAAAAUUGGCUUUCAAGCUAGGUUCUGGGUUCACACAAGACCUGAAUCAGGAACAAGGGCUAUUAGCUCAGGUGGUUAGAGCGCACCCCUGAUAAGGGUGAGGUCCCUGGUUCGAGUCCAGGAUGGCCCACCUGUACAGGUGGCAAAAACAAGAGAAGCGAGGAAUCAGCACCUUAUCUUACUGACAUAGUAAGAGAGAAUGCUGGCUCUGAGUAAAGAGUCCAGAGGAACCUUGAAAACUGCAUAGAGCUAGGUGAAAAAGCCAAAAAAGAAGACCGCAAGGUCAAGCUAAUAAGGGCUAACGGUGGAUACCUAGGCACACAGAGG
RNAcentral lists this small RNA (525 nucleotides) under Microcystis aeruginosa UTEX LB 2388. RNAcentral's name for it is "bacterial LSU rRNA". The stretch from base 1 to 120 matches the Rfam family "Bacterial small subunit ribosomal RNA", at positions 1414 to 1533 of the family's 1533-position model. The record is from RNAcentral. Lineage: Bacteria; Bacillati; Cyanobacteriota; Cyanophyceae; Chroococcales; Microcystaceae.